This is a long non-coding RNA of Mus musculus (house mouse), 387 nucleotides long. RefSeq annotates it as predicted gene, 32512. The record is from RefSeq and is a predicted model, not a curated record. NCBI's taxonomy places the organism in Eukaryota, Metazoa, Chordata, Mammalia, Rodentia, Muridae. The transcript has 4 exons.
UGAAGCAUUUGAAAAAGAAUAAUUUCUUAUUCUUUUUCUGGAUAUUCGUCUUAAUGUACUUGUAGGUUUUUGUACUGCCAAUGGGACUGGAAUUUAAAAUGAGCAUGGCUGGACAGAUGCUUCCUGGAAAAAUCUGGUUUUCAGCUUCUCCUUCAAGGGUCAGUUGCCAUGUCUCAACACAUGUGGUAAAGAAGCAAGGCCAUCUGACCAACACUGCUUGAAUAACUAAGUCUUCAACCUGAAAGCUCUCAGAAAAUGUAUUUGGGCCAACAGCCUGGGAAGUGAUCUUCCUCAAGUUGUGUUAUCAGGUCUGUGAUAUAAUUAUUUAUCUUUGCUGAAUUGUUGAAGGUAUGCGGCAUGCAUCUGUAAUGAAUGACACAUACAACG